RNAcentral lists this ribosomal RNA (801 nucleotides) under uncultured bacterium. Its description in RNAcentral is "bacterial SSU rRNA". It matches the Rfam family "Bacterial small subunit ribosomal RNA", at positions 59 to 828 of the family's 1533-position model. The record is from RNAcentral.
CAGUCGAGCGAGCGGAACCACAGAUUUACUUCGGUAAUGACGUUGGGAAAGCGAGCGGCGGAUGGGUGAGUAACACGUGGGGAACCUGCCCCUAAGUCUGGGAUACCAUUUGGAAACAGGUGCUAAUACCGGAUAAUAAAGCAGAUCGCAUGAUCAGCUUUUGAAAGGCGGCGUAAGCUGUCGCUAAGGGAUGGCCCCGCGGUGCAUUAGCUAGUUGGUAAGGUAACGGCUUACCAAGGCGACGAUGCAUAGCCGAGUUGAGAGACUGAUCGGCCACAUUGGGACUGAGACACGGCCCAAACUCCUACGGGAGGCAGCAGUAGGGAAUCUUCCACAAUGGACGCAAGUCUGAUGGAGCAACGCCGCGUGAGUGAAGAAGGUUUUCGGAUCGUAAAGCUCUGUUGUUGGUGAAGAAGGAUAGAGGUAGUAACUGGCCUUUAUUUGACGGUAAUCAACCAGAAAGUCACGGCUAACUACGUGCCAGCAGCCGCGGUAAUACGUAGGUGGCAAGCGUUGUCCGGAUUUAUUGGGCGUAAAGCGAGCGCAGGCGGAAAAAUAAGUCUAAUGUGAAAGCCCUCGGCUUAACCGAGGAACUGCAUCGGAAACUGUUUUUCUUGAGUGCAGAAGAGGAGAGUGGAACUCCAUGUGUAGCGGUGGAAUGCGUAGAUAUAUGGAAGAACACCAGUGGCGAAGGCGGCUCUCUGGUCUGCAACUGACGCUGAGGCUCGAAAGCAUGGGUAGCGAACAGGAUUAGAUACCCUGGUAGUCCAUGCCGUAAACGAUGAGUGCUAAGUGUUGGGA